AACGAACGCUGGCGGCAUGCCUAACACAUGCAAGUCGAACGAGACCUUCGGGUCUAGUGGCGCACGGGUGCGUAACGCGUGGGAACCUGCCCUUAGGUUCGGAAUAACUCCCGAAAGGGGUGCCUAUACCGGGUAAAGUUUUCCGGCCAAAGAUUUAUCGCCUUUGGAUGGGCCCGCGUUGGAUUAGCUAGUUGGUAGGGUAAAAGCCUACCAAGGCGACGAUCCAUAGCUGGUCUGAGAGGAUGAUCAGCCACACUGGGACUGAGACACGGCCCAGACUCCUACGGGAGGCAGCAGUGGGGAAUAUUGGACAAUGGGCGAAAGCCUGAUCCAGCAAUGCCGCGUGAGUGAUGAAGGCCUUAGGGUUGUAAAGCUCUUUUACCCGGGAUGAUAAUGACAGUACCGGGAGAAUAAGCUCCGGCUAACUCCGUG
RNAcentral lists this ribosomal RNA (432 nucleotides) under uncultured bacterium. RNAcentral's name for it is "partial 16S ribosomal RNA". It matches the Rfam family "Bacterial small subunit ribosomal RNA", at positions 29 to 507 of the family's 1533-position model. The record is from RNAcentral.